RNAcentral lists this ribosomal RNA (871 nucleotides) under Enterococcus faecium. RNAcentral describes it as "bacterial SSU rRNA". It matches the Rfam family "Bacterial small subunit ribosomal RNA", at positions 65 to 906 of the family's 1533-position model. Lineage: Bacteria; Bacillati; Bacillota; Bacilli; Lactobacillales; Enterococcaceae. The record is from RNAcentral.
AACGCUUCUUUUUCCACCGGAGCUUGCUCCACCGGAAAAAGAGGAGUGGCGAACGGGUGAGUAACACGUGGGUAACCUGCCCAUCAGAAGGGGAUAACACUUGGAAACAGGUGCUAAUACCGUAUAACAAUCGAAACCGCAUGGUUUUGAUUUGAAAGGCGCUUUCGGGUGUCGCUGAUGGAUGGACCCGCGGUGCAUUAGCUAGUUGGUGAGGUAACGGCUCACCAAGGCCACGAUGCAUAGCCGACCUGAGAGGGUGAUCGGCCACAUUGGGACUGAGACACGGCCCAAACUCCUACGGGAGGCAGCAGUAGGGAAUCUUCGGCAAUGGACGAAAGUCUGACCGAGCAACGCCGCGUGAGUGAAGAAGGUUUUCGGAUCGUAAAACUCUGUUGUUAGAGAAGAACAAGGAUGAGAGUAACUGUUCAUCCCUUGACGGUAUCUAACCAGAAAGCCACGGCUAACUACGUGCCAGCAGCCGCGGUAAUACGUAGGUGGCAAGCGUUGUCCGGAUUUAUUGGGCGUAAAGCGAGCGCAGGCGGUUUCUUAAGUCUGAUGUGAAAGCCCCCGGCUCAACCGGGGAGGGUCAUUGGAAACUGGGAGACUUGAGUGCAGAAGAGGAGAGUGGAAUUCCAUGUGUAGCGGUGAAAUGCGUAGAUAUAUGGAGGAACACCAGUGGCGAAAGCGGCUCUCUGGUCUGUAACUGACGCUGAGGCUCGAAAGCGUGGGGAGCAAACAGGAUUAGAUACCCUGGUAGUCCACGCCGUAAACGAUGAGUGCUAAGUGUUGGAGGGUUUCCGCCCUUCAUUGCUGCAGCUAACGCAAUAAGCACUCCGCCAGGGGAGUACGACCGCAAGGUUGAAACUCAGNG